CCCUUAGAUGUUCUGGGCCGCACGCGCGCUACACUGAUGCAUUCAACGAGUUUCUUCCUUGUCCGAGAGGAAUGGGUAACCUUUUGAAAGUGCAUCGUGAUAGGGAUAGACUAUUGCAAUUAUUGGUCUUCAACGAGGAAUUCCUAGUAGACGUAGUUCAUCAGACUGCAUCGAUUACGUCCCUGCCCUUUGUACACACCGCCCGUCGCUCCUACCGAUUGAAUGCUCAGGUGAGCCAUUCGGACUUUCAUCAUGCUGGUUUCCAGUUUUGAUGAAGGAAAGUCUUGCGAACCUUAUCAUUUAGAGGAAGGAGAAGUCGUAACA
RNAcentral lists this ribosomal RNA (324 nucleotides) under uncultured eukaryote. RNAcentral's name for it is "partial 18S ribosomal RNA". It matches the Rfam family "Eukaryotic small subunit ribosomal RNA", at positions 1470 to 1796 of the family's 1831-position model. The record is from RNAcentral.